UUGAAAGGGAAACGAUUGAAGUCAGUCGUACCAGCGGAUAAUCAACCUUUAGAUGCGAUUUUAUGGAGUGUGAGGAGCUAAUCGCCUUCAUGCCUGUAUAUUCGUAUACUUGGGGUGUACUUAUUCGUGUGGUAAGUUAACAUCAAUUUUGGUUGUCAUAAAAUGAUUGGAGGAAUGUAGCUUCGAUUUUGUAUUGAAGUGUUAUAGCCUUCGGUAGAUGUGACGAUCGGGAUUGAGGAUUGCAAGGGAUACCCUUCGGGGCUACCUGUCUGAUCUCUGAUUGUUGCUCUGGUGCUGAAAGCUUGCUUAUAGUAUCAAAGUCGAUGGUCAAUAGGUUAGAAUGGGUUAAAUUCGUUAAGGAUGUUGACGUA
Molecule: ribosomal RNA, 371 nt
Filed under: uncultured Glomeromycotina
Lineage: Eukaryota; Fungi; Glomeromycota
Description: LSU rRNA
Source: RNAcentral